GUCUGACGGAGCAACGCCGCGUGAGUGAUGAAGGUUUUCGGAUCGUAAAGCUCUGUUGUUAGGGAAGAACAAGUGCGAGAGUAACUGCUCGCACCUUGACGGUACCUAACCAGAAAGCCACGGCUAACUACGUGCCAGCAGCCGCGGUAAUACGUAGGUGGCAAGCGUUGUCCGGAAUUAUUGGGCGUAAAGGGCUCGCAGGCGGUUUCUUAAGUCUGAUGUGAAAGCCCCCGGCUCAACCGGGGAGGGUCAUUGGAAACUGGGAAACUUGAGUGCAGAAGAGGAGAGUGGAAUUCCACGUGUAGCGGUGAAAUGCGUAGAGAUGUGGAGGAACACCAGUGGCGAAGGCGACUCUCUGGUCUGUAACUGACGCUGAGGAGCGAAAGCGUGGGGAGCGAACAGGAUUAGAUACCCUGGUAGUCCACGCCGUAAACGAUGAGUGCUAAGUGUUAGGGGGUUUCCGCCCCUUAGUGCUGCAGCUAACGCAUUAAGCACUCCGCCUGGGGAGUACGGUCGCAAGACUGAAACUCAAAGGAAUUGACGGGGGCCCGCACAAGCGGUGGAGCAUGUGGUUUAAUUCGAAGCAACGCGAAGAACCUUACCAGGUCUUGACAUCCUCUGACAACCCUAGAGAUAGGGCUUUCCCUUCGGGGACAGAGUGACAGGUGGUGCAUGGUUGUCGUCAGCUCGUGUCGUGAGAUGUUGGGUUAAGUCCCGCAACGAGCGCAACCCUUGAUCUUAGUUGCCAGCAUUUAGUUGGGCACUCUAAGGUGACUGCCGGUGACAAACCGGAGGAAGGUGGGGAUGACGUCAAAUCAUCAUGCCCCUUAUGACCUGGGCUACACACGUGCUACAAUGGACAGAACAAAGGGCUGCGAGACCGCAAGGUUUAGCCAAUCCCAUAAAUCUGUUCUCAGUUCGGAUCGCAGUCUGCAACUCGACUGCGUGAAGCUGGAAUCGCUAGUAAUCGCGGAUCAGCAUGCCGCGGUGAAUACGUUCCCGGGCCUUGUACACACCGCCCGUCACACCACGAGAGUUUGCAACACCCGAAGU
RNAcentral lists this ribosomal RNA (1053 nucleotides) under Bacillus sp. (in: firmicutes). RNAcentral's name for it is "bacterial SSU rRNA". It matches the Rfam family "Bacterial small subunit ribosomal RNA", at positions 381 to 1427 of the family's 1533-position model. The record is from RNAcentral. Lineage: Bacteria; Bacillati; Bacillota; Bacilli; Caryophanales; Bacillaceae.